GAUGCCUAUCCAUAAAGCCGGG
This 22-nucleotide ribosomal RNA is filed under the name Pisolithus albus. Its description in RNAcentral is "partial 28S ribosomal RNA". Lineage: Eukaryota; Fungi; Basidiomycota; Agaricomycetes; Boletales; Pisolithaceae. The record is from RNAcentral.